This 544-nucleotide ribosomal RNA is filed under the name unidentified oil field bacterium DBAC14. RNAcentral describes it as "bacterial SSU rRNA". It matches the Rfam family "Bacterial small subunit ribosomal RNA", at positions 362 to 896 of the family's 1533-position model. The record is from RNAcentral. Lineage: Bacteria; Deltaproteobacteria.
UUUUGCGCAAUGGGGGCAACCCUGACGCAGCAACGCCGCGUGAGUGAAGAAGGCCUUUGGGUCGUAAAGCUCUGUCAACUGGGAAGAAAUUAGCUUCUAUUAAUAGUAGUUGCUAUUGACGGUACCAGUGGAGGAAGCGNCCGGCUAGCUCCGUGCCAGCAGCCGCGGUAACACGGGGGGCCAAAGCGUUAUUCGGAAUUAUUGGGCGUAAAGGGCGCGCAGGCGGUCUUGUCCGUCAGGUGUGAAAGCCGGGGCUCAACCCCGGAAGUGCACUUGAAACAGCAAGACUUGAAUACGGGAGAGGAGAGAGGAAUUCCUGGUGUAGAGGUGAAAUUCGUANAUAUCAGGAGGAACACCGUAGGCGAAGGCAUCUCUCUGGACCGAUAUUGACGCUGAGGCGCGAAGGCGUGGGUAGCGAACGGGAUUAGAUACCCCGGUAGUCCACGCAGUAAACGUUGUACACUCGGUGUGGCGGAUAUUAAAAUCUGCUGUGCCUAACGUAACGCAUUAAGUGUACCGCCUGGGAAGUACGGUCGCAAGACUA